RNAcentral lists this ribosomal RNA (350 nucleotides) under Porticoccaceae bacterium. RNAcentral describes it as "bacterial SSU rRNA". It matches the Rfam family "Bacterial small subunit ribosomal RNA", at positions 1 to 357 of the family's 1533-position model. The record is from RNAcentral. Lineage: Bacteria; Pseudomonadati; Pseudomonadota; Gammaproteobacteria; Cellvibrionales; Porticoccaceae.
AACUGAAGAGUUUGAUCAUGGCUCAGAUUGAACGCUGGCGGCAGGCCUAACACAUGCAAGUCGAGCGCGAAAACACUUCGGUGUGAGUAGAGCGGCGGACGGGUGAGUAAUGCUUGGGAAUCUGCCCAGUAGUGGGGGAUAACGUGUGGAAACGCACGCUAAUACCGCAUACGUCCUACGGGAGAAAGCAGGGGAUCUUCGGACCUUGCGCUAUUGGAUGAGCCCAAGUCAGAUUAGCUAGUUGGUGGGGUAAUGGCUCACCAAGGCGACGAUCUGUAGCUGGUCUGAGAGGAUGAUCAGCCACACUGGGACUGAGACACGGCCCAGACUCCUACGGGAGGCAGCAGUGG